RNAcentral lists this ribosomal RNA (496 nucleotides) under uncultured bacterium. RNAcentral's name for it is "partial 16S ribosomal RNA". It matches the Rfam family "Bacterial small subunit ribosomal RNA", at positions 29 to 507 of the family's 1533-position model. The record is from RNAcentral.
AUGAACGCUGGCGGCGUGCCUAAUACAUGCAAGUCGAGCGAACGGACGAGAAGCUUGCUUCUCUGAUGUUAGCGGCGGACGGGUGAGUAACACGUGGAUAACCUACCUAUAAGACUGGGAUAACUUCGGGAAACCGGAGCUAAUACCGGAUAAUAUUUUGAACCGCAUGGUUCAAAAGUGAAAGACGGUCUUGCUGUCACUUAUAGAUGGAUCCGCGCUGCACUAGCUAGUUGGUAAGGUAACGGCUUACCAAGGCAACGAUGCAUAGCCGACCUGAGAGGGUGAUCGGCCACACUGGAACUGAGACACGGUCCAGACUCCUACGGGAGGCAGCAGUAGGGAAUCUUCCGCAAUGGGCGAAAGCCUGACGGAGCAACGCCGCGUGAGUGAUGAAGGUCUUCGGAUCGUAAAACUCUGUUAUUAGGGAAGAACAUAUGUGUAAGUAACUGUGCACAUCUUGACGGUACCUAAUCAGAAAGCCACGGCUAACUACGUG